Molecule: ribosomal RNA, 433 nt
Filed under: uncultured bacterium
Lineage: Bacteria
Description: partial 16S ribosomal RNA
Rfam family: Bacterial small subunit ribosomal RNA
Source: RNAcentral
AGCGAACGCUGGCGGCAGGCCUAACACAUGCAAGUCGAACGAACUCUUCGGAGUUAGUGGCGGACGGGUGUGUAACACGUGGGAACGUGCCUUUUGGUUCGGAAUACCUCAGGGAAACUUGUGCUAACACCGAAUGUGCCCUUCUGGGGAAAGAUUUAUCGCCAUUAGAGCGGCCCGCGUCUGAUUAGCUAGUUGGUGAGGUAACGGCUCACCAAGGCGACGAUCAGUAGCUGGUCUGAGAGGAUGACCAGCCACACUGGGACUGAGACACGGCCCAGACUCCUACGGGAGGCAGCAGUGGGGAAUCUUGCGCAAUGGGCGAAAGCCUGACGCAGCCAUGCCGGGUGAAUGAUGAAGGUCUUAGGAUUGUAAAAUUCUUUCACCGGGGACGAUAAUGACGGUACCCGGAGAAGAAGCCCCGGCUAACUUCGUA